AGCCUUGAGGUGAAUAUCAUAUUGGAUUGCAAAUCCAAAGAAGUAGGUUAACGCCUGCCGGGGCUU
Molecule: transfer RNA, 66 nt
Filed under: Aplocheilus lineatus (striped panchax)
Lineage: Eukaryota; Metazoa; Chordata; Actinopteri; Cyprinodontiformes; Aplocheilidae
Description: tRNA-Cys
Rfam family: tRNA
About the family: Transfer RNA (tRNA) molecules are approximately 80 nucleotides in length. Their secondary structure includes four short double-helical elements and three loops (D, anti-codon, and T loops).
Source: RNAcentral